This is a long non-coding RNA of Panthera uncia (snow leopard), 1079 nucleotides long. RefSeq lists it as uncharacterized. The transcript is spliced from 3 exons. NCBI's taxonomy places the organism in Eukaryota, Metazoa, Chordata, Mammalia, Carnivora, Felidae. The record is from RefSeq and is a predicted model, not a curated record.
GGGUGGAGCUUUCAUGAAUGGGAUUGAUUCAUGUGUCUCUUAUAAGACUCCACACAGUUCCCCCUGCCCCACCUUUCUACCAUUUGAAGACCCGGUAAGAAGGUGCUGGCUCUGAACCAGGAACAGAGAGCCCUCACCAAAACACAGCCAUGCUAGCUCCUUGAUCUUGGAAUUCCCAGCCUGCAGAGCUAUUGCAAUGACAUAUCUUCAGCGGUUAAAAAUUGCCAAGUAGUUGUCUUAUUCUUGGAAAGGAAUCAAGAUGAGAGAAUCAUAGGAGCAAGCAAAUGAUUGUGUCAAAGAUCUCACUGCUUCAGUAGUGACAAGGACUCUAUGAAAUACUAGAUCUCAACAUUUCACAGUCCGUUCUGUUUUCUGACGUGUCGCAUACAAACUCAUAGCAUUUCCAUACACAUCUCCAGAAAUGAGCCUCCGGCUCUCCCUGCACAGCCCCCACUAACUCCCAGGGAAGUAGGAUUGUAGCUUGAAGUUUCCCUGACUUUUGUAGUUUAAAAAAAAAUCUCUGUUCUCCCUUUAUGAUGCAGUGGAAAGAGCUUUUAUUUGGAAUCAUUUAUUUAACCAUUUUUAUUGAAUGCCUUCUCUGUGCCAAGCAUGAGACCAGCAGGACCUGGGAAUACAAAGUGAAUGAGGGAUGUGAUCCCGGCAUUUACAGUCUGUUUGAACUUCUAGUCUUGCCACUCAACAGUUGUCUGUCUUAGGCAAAUCAUUUCACCUCUCUGAGACUCCACUUUCAGAUCUUUAAAAUAAGGGCUAAUUCUAUUUUUGAGAGUUGUGAGGAUUAAUUAACAUUAAAAAAAAAGGUAAAUGUCUUGGCAUAUUUCUGACAAAUAGUAGGCGUUCACUCAAUAAAUGUUAGUAUCUUCCCUCCUACAUCCAAGGGUUACUUGGAGAAUCAAAUAUGAUAAUGAACGUGGAAAUGUUUUGUGAAUUGGAAAUGGAGUCAUAGACAAAGUUAGAGUUUUAGGGAGUCAACACAUACUACCACUUUCUUCACCUUGCAAGUUCAAGUCAAAUGAGAAGAGGCAGACAUCUCAAGAUCAAAGUAGCAACCUAAUUAUAGA